AGCAGCCGCGGUAAUUCCAGCUCCAAUAGCGUAUAUUAAAGUUGUUGCAGUUAAAAAGCUCGUAGUUGAAUUUCGGGACUAAUAUGUCGGUCGUACUUUGUACGUACUAGCAUUAUUGGUUUCUCCCUUCUGACGAACCACGAUGUCAUUAAUUUGGUGUCUUGGGAAAUCAGGACUGUUACUUUGAAAAAUUAGAGUGUUUAAAGCAAGCUCGCGCUUGAAUACAUUAGCAUGGAAUAAUGAAAUAGGACGUUUGAUUCUAUUUUGUUGGUUUCUAGGAUCGACGUAAUGAUUAAUAGGGAUAGUUGGGGGCAUUAGUAUUCAAUUGUCAGAGGUGAAAUUCUUGGAUUUAUUGAAGACUAACUACUGCGAAAGCAUUUGCCAAGGAUGUUUUCAUUAAUCAAGAACGAAAGUUAGGGGAAUCGAAGACGAUCAGAUACCGUCGUAGUCUUAACCAUAAACUAUGCCGACUAGGGAUCGGAUGAUGUUAAUUUUUAAUGUACUC
This 505-nucleotide ribosomal RNA is filed under the name uncultured Glomus. RNAcentral describes it as "SSU rRNA". It matches the Rfam family "Eukaryotic small subunit ribosomal RNA", at positions 569 to 1080 of the family's 1831-position model. Lineage: Eukaryota; Fungi; Glomeromycota; Glomeromycetes; Glomerales; Glomeraceae. The record is from RNAcentral.